Molecule: small nuclear RNA, 103 nt
Organism: Prionailurus viverrinus (fishing cat)
Lineage: Eukaryota; Metazoa; Chordata; Mammalia; Carnivora; Felidae
Source: RefSeq, a predicted model, not a curated record
CUGCUUCAGCAGCACAUACACUAAAAUUGGAAAGAUACAGAGAAGAUUAGCGUGGCCUCUGCUCAAGGAUGAUAUGCAAAUUUGUAGAGUGUUCCAUAUUAAA